Molecule: long non-coding RNA, 859 nt
Filed under: Homo sapiens (human)
Lineage: Eukaryota; Metazoa; Chordata; Mammalia; Primates; Hominidae
Description: long non-coding RNA NONHSAT203636.1
Source: RNAcentral
CACAGCCAGUGAAGGAAAGGGCUGAAAUCAAACCAGGCCUGUCUGACUGCAAGGCAGGGUCUUACGGCUGCCUCCGGUGGGUAGGUCCGGGACCCAGCUGGUUUCCGUCCUGUGGCUCAGGUGCGAGGAGAGCCUCCCUGGGCCACCUGGGGAAGUCUGACUGACGUGCCAGAUCCUCACAGAACAAAGGAGAGAAGGGGACUCCUGAGAGGCCCCAGCAGCGUUAUCUGGGCAGAGAAAGUGAGUUUGAAGACCUCACACUCCAUCUGGACUUUAUCAGCUCCUUUCCUGGGUAGGAUUACAGUAAACGAUUAUCUACAGAUCUGGAGCCAGCAAGGACUUUGAAGGCCCCAAUUGCCAAGGGGGUGGUGAAAUGGGGGAAGGGCUGGAACCCCCUCUCUCAGCACCAGGGAGCUCCUCCAGGAGCACUUCCUCCCAUGUCUGUGUUCGCCGUUAAGACUGGACACACCAGGAUGAUCUUUCAACUUUGGGUCCAAAGGCCCUCAGUGGAUGUAAAAUAGGUACAUGAGGCCUUGAACUGAACAUUUUUUUCACUUCACCAUAACCUGGAUUUUCCCAGUUUAGGAGCAUCUGUUUGUCUUGAUAACGUUUGGAACAAAGUGAAAAAAACUGGACUUUGAAGAGAACUUCAGGCUCCCAGCAGCCCUGUUUUACAGAUGAAGAAACUGAGGCUCAAAGAGCUGGAGAAAGUUGUUGCCCAGGGUCCUGUGGAGAGAAAACUCAAGCUCCGGCUGUUCCACUACUCUGGGACACCACCCCCAGUGGGAACCCCACUUUUACAAGGAUUCGAAGGUUUACUCCAUUCUUUGCCACACAUAAGGAGGCCGAGGAGGGAAGA